RNAcentral lists this ribosomal RNA (252 nucleotides) under uncultured bacterium. Its description in RNAcentral is "partial 16S ribosomal RNA". It matches the Rfam family "Bacterial small subunit ribosomal RNA", at positions 524 to 776 of the family's 1533-position model. The record is from RNAcentral.
GACGAGGGACCCUAGCGUUGUUCGGAAUCAUUGGGCGUAAAGCGGGUGUAGGUGGCUUUGUAAGUCAGGUGUGAAAGCCCUGGGCUCAACCCAGGAAGUGCAUUUGAUACUGCGAAGCUUGAGUGCCGGAGAGGUUCUGGAAUACCUGGUGUAGUGGUGAAAUACGUAGAUAUCAGGUGGAACACCGGAGGCGAAGGCGGGUAACUGGCCGGACACUGACACUCAGACCCGAAAGCGUGGGGAUCAAACAGG